GGACUACCCGGGUAUCUAAUCCUUUUUGCUCCCCACGCUUUCGUGCCUCAAUGUCAGAAAUAGAAUAGUUAACUGCCUUCGCCGUUAUUGGUGUUCUUCCAUAUAUCGUCACAUUUUACCGCUCCACAUGGAGUUCCGUUAACCUCUCCUACUCUCUAGUCUGACAGUAUUAAUAGUUUCCGCGAGGUUGGGCCUCGAUUUACCACCACUAACUUUUCAGACCAUCUACGCACCCUUUACGCCCAAUAAUUCCGGAUAACGUUCGUCACCUACGUCUUACCGCGGCGGCUGGCAC
RNAcentral lists this ribosomal RNA (295 nucleotides) under uncultured bacterium. RNAcentral describes it as "partial 16S ribosomal RNA". The record is from RNAcentral.